Drosophila sechellia is the source of this 405-nucleotide long non-coding RNA. RefSeq lists it as uncharacterized. The record is from RefSeq and is a predicted model, not a curated record. Lineage: Eukaryota; Metazoa; Arthropoda; Insecta; Diptera; Drosophilidae. The transcript is spliced from 2 exons.
CUCUAAGAUAGGAAUUUAGGUACCUAGUGUUUUACUCAAGUCAAACAUUCUAAAUUAUUGAGAAAUUAGGCCCAUCUUUAAAAGGAGUGAAAACGAUUUUGGACACUUUCGAAAAUAAUUACAUGUUUUAAAUAAACUUAAAAAGAACAUAUUUUAUGUGUUGUAGAGCCAACUGUUCUACAUUAUAAAUAAACGAAUUUAUUCUUCAUAUUUUCAAAAAUGGUCAGUGAAAUCGUUGAGAGUACAAAACUACCUAGCAGAAUUACAAAGCCGCCUUCGAGGGUACCAAAUAAGCCCCCAAAAAGCAACUAGCUCUGCGUCGACGGAAUAAAAUCGCUGGAAGAGGCGAAAAUGAGCGUCGAGCUUCAAAAUGACAGGACACAGAGGCGGAGCAAAAGGGGAAUA